RNAcentral lists this ribosomal RNA (1140 nucleotides) under Vibrio sp. H1C. Its description in RNAcentral is "bacterial SSU rRNA". It matches the Rfam family "Bacterial small subunit ribosomal RNA", at positions 54 to 1176 of the family's 1533-position model. The record is from RNAcentral. Lineage: Bacteria; Pseudomonadati; Pseudomonadota; Gammaproteobacteria; Vibrionales; Vibrionaceae.
CAUGCAGUCGAGCGGAACGAGUUAUCUGAACCUUCGGGGRACGAUAACGGCGUCGAGCGGCGGACGGGUGAGUAAUGCCUAGGAAAUUGCCCUGAUGUGGGGGAUAACCAUUGGAAACGAUGGCUAAUACCGCAUGAUGCCUACGGGCCAAAGAGGGGGACCUUCGGGCCUCUCGCGUCAGGAUAUGCCUAGGUGGGAUUAGCUAGUUGGUGAGGUAAGGGCUCACCAAGGCGACGAUCCCUAGCUGGUCUGAGAGGAUGAUCAGCCACACUGGAACUGAGACACGGUCCAGACUCCUACGGGAGGCAGCAGUGGGGAAUAUUGCACAAUGGGCGCAAGCCUGAUGCAGCCAUGCCGCGUGUGUGAAGAAGGCCUUCGGGUUGUAAAGCACUUUCAGUCGUGAGGAAGGUGGUGUAGUUAAUAGCUGCAUCAUUUGACGUUAGCGACAGAAGAAGCACCGGCUAACUCCGUGCCAGCAGCCGCGGUAAUACGGAGGGUGCGAGCGUUAAUCGGAAUUACUGGGCGUAAAGCGCAUGCAGGUGGUUUGUUAAGUCAGAUGUGAAAGCCCGGGGCUCAACCUCGGAAUAGCAUUUGAAACUGGCAGACUAGAGUACUGUAGAGGGGGGUAGAAUUUCAGGUGUAGCGGUGAAAUGCGUAGAGAUCUGAAGGAAUACCGGUGGCGAAGGCGGCCCCCUGGACAGAUACUGACACUCAGAUGCGAAAGCGUGGGAGCAAACAGGAUUAGAUACCCUGGUAGUCCACGCCGUAAACGAUGUCUACUUGGAGGUUGUGGCCUUGAGCCGUGGCUUUCGGAGCUAACGCGUUAAGUAGACCGCCUGGGGAGUACGGUCGCAAGAUUAAAACUCAAAUGAAUUGACGGGGGCCCGCACAAGCGGUGGAGCAUGUGGUUUAAUUCGAUGCAACGCGAAGAACCUUACCUACUCUUGACAUCCAGAGAACUUUCCAGAGAUGGAUUGGUGCCUUCGGGAACUCUGAGACAGGUGCUGCAUGGCUGUCGUCAGCUCGUGUUGUGAAAUGUUGGGUUAAGUCCCGCAACGAGCGCAACCCUUAUCCUUGUUUGCCAGCGAGUAAUGUCGGGAACUCCAGGGAGACUGCCGGUGAUAAACCGGAGGAAGGUGG